GGGGCUGGUGGGGCGGUGCUCCAUCCAUCCCGGGCCUGCGCAGCCAGAGCACUCCGGGCAGGCUGGGGUGGGCCGAACCCCGGAGAGAGAAAUCCCGAGCACGGGAAGAGGAGGCCUGGGUAUCUGAGGCUCGGGGGAUCCGAGGCACACGGCCCGGGUGUCGGGUAGUCAGAGUUCUCCGCUACUUCUGGCGGGGAACCGUCCCGCCGCUGAGGCAUGACAAAGCCUCAGGAGGUGCUGGAUGGGGAUGGGGGAAGGGCAAGCGUCCGCAGCCCCCAGCACUGCCGCGGGACCGCAAGGAGGUCUGGCGCUGGUGCUGCCUUUGGGAUGCGCUGACACGCCUAGACAGGACAGGUUUCUGGUCACCCCCUUCCUCCAAUACAGUGAAUCCAAGUCCAGGCACAGGGGAGAAGCCCAGAGGCGUCCUGGCAGGGACUUCCUUUGAUUAGGGAGUUGAGCAAGGGGCUCUGACUUUGUGUUGAGGUGUGCACCCUGCUCAGAGGCUCUCAAGGUUGAAAGAGGAGUAGCUUAGGUGAACACAGGAAAGAUACAACCCACCUUCCGGGACACUGGAGCCACUCUCCCAGGGCUUUGUUGCAGGUCUGUCUGGUGGCCUAGGGAUUGGCAGAGAUUUACAAAGGUGUCAUUCAGUCCUCCUUAAAAGGAGGAUUACAGAAGAUUGUGUGUGGAGACCAGGAGUUGGGGCACCCAGGGCUGGCCUUGUGGGUGUAUUCAUUUUCAUUCAUCCCUUGCUUUUUGUUGUUGUUGUUGUUGUUGUUUUGAGACUGUUUCUCUUUGUGGCUCAGGUCCUCCUCAAACUUUGGCUGCAGAAGUAUGUGUGCCACCAAGCCCAACUUUAUUUUUCCUCUCCCUCUUUCUUUGUUGGAGAUAACAGAAUACAGGGCCUGGGGCUUGCUAAACACAGGCUCUACCAUCAAACAAGCAUCCGUGCAAAGUUUCCCUUGAGUGCCUGCUGGGGAUGGGCCCUGGGAUCCCAGCCUAGGCUCAACACCUGUCAAGUGUCUGAUGCAAUGGGGGCUUUUCCAUUUAGCAAGACACAGGGGAAUAACCGUGUCUGGUGAACUUGGAUCCUGAGAAGAGCCUCUGAGGGUAGGCAUCUGAGGCUGAGCCACAAAGGGGUGGCCAAUGGCCAGUACACGAUAGGCUGAGCAGGCCUCACAUGGAGGCAUUUGCCCGGAGAAACCUGCAGACUGAGCGUUGAUGUACAUGAGUUGGGUGAAGACUGAUAAAGACAGGAAGAACCUCAAGACAUGGGUGUAUCAGGGUCACGGUUGAAGGGAACCACUGGAAAAUAAAAUCUUAGGACUCCUGUGGCCUGGCAGGCUGAAGCAGCCACUGGUCUUUAUUGUGGCUGUAAAGAGAACCCCUGGAAUGUGGUGUCCAGCUUCAUUUAAGACCCAGUGAGCUCUUCAGGGAGGCUAGAGAGAGGAGUGACCAAGCCAAGCAGAAGAGAGGCAGUUGACCCUGUCUAGGUGGAGACAGUGGAGGUAGUAGGCAAGGCUGGGUGUAGUGGGAUUGAUUGUCAUUUUAAGAAAGCUCUCCACCUCCAUUUGAAUAAAAAACAACAACAAAAAACAAAAAAAAAAAAAACAACAAAAAAAACAAGUUGGCAAACUGUGGUUUGGGAGGGGAAGGGAGGACCAAGAUGACUCCCUCCACCAACACCCCCACACUCCCGCCAUGUUUUCAGCCCCCAAAGAAUUAGGCCUACUUUAGACUAAGGUGAGAUUGAAGUCUGUGGAGUCAGGAGAGCAGGCUAGGAGCAGUUGAUGGCGCAUUUAUUUAAUUCAGCGGGAGCAGCAUGGAUUUUCCUAUUACAACUCAUUGAGAGUGGGAGUAGUGGAAGUCAGGACUCCCCCAGUGGACAAUCGGAGUUUGGGUUGUCACCCAUGCAUUCACUCAUUCAACCCAGAAUGGCUUUCUGGUGUCCUGUGGGUAGUCGAGGCUGUAAGCACCCUGACAUUGUGCUGUGAGGCUCUGAAGACUGAGUGAAGAUAGGUAGGGCUAAGAUGGCCUCAGACUUGUGACCAACCUGGUUUCUGGCCUUGGGAUCAAAGCAGUAUUGUCUUCAGAGUGGCUUCCUGUGGCUCAGUGCCUGGGACUUGAUUACCCUGAGGUCUCCCUAUGUGUUCCUGGCACCACCUCUCAGGGCCACGUCUCUCUUGUUCUUUGACUUUACCACUGUUCUGCCUAGGCCUGAGUUGAUUGAAUUCCAGGUAAGCCUCCAGGGCCUGGAGUCUAGGCUUAGGAUAAGAAUGCUGUUUGCAUGGGGUGUUCAGGAUGUGUGUACACUGCAGGCCUCUGCUUUGUUCUACACACCAGACGGGUACCCUACUGACCCAGCUAGGACUUGGGGCCAAGCAAACCCAGUUCUACAAGACAGCACUGUCUCUUUUGGGCAGGGAGGCCACGAAGACGUGGAUAAGACCUGCCCCGCCUGCUUCAUAGGAUGUGGUGUGGGACAUCAUUCAUUGCUGGUUGUCAGUGUUGGCACAGUUGAUGAGCUGCCAUUAUGGUCUCCGGUGCCCACAUUCUAGGUCUGGUUUGCUGGCAGUGUCUGCUUUUAGCCUGCGUGUUUUUGCUGGCAGGUGGCUUCCACAGCUGGCCGGCUCUUCGAGUAUUGCAUCACCCCUGUGAAGUGUGCAGCCACUUUUGCACAGUCUCAUCCACAGCCACUUGGGUAGCAGCCCAACAGACCCGUCCUCUCUAGGAUUGGCUGUGAGGGACCAGUUGGUAGGCUGGCUCAGGAAAGUUCCCCUUCCCUGGUGCUCUCCACCUCCAUGUGACUUAAAAAACAGUUGUAAGAUUUGUGGCUUAGGAGGGGGAGGGGGAACCAAGUUGGCUUUCCCAAUCCCCACCUACUACCCCCCUCCCUCGCCAUGUUUUCAACCCCCAAAUUAUUAGACCUACUUUAGAAUAAGCUGCCUGUGAAGUCAGGAAGGCAGACUAGGAACGAGCAGUUCAUGCCACAUUGAAUUCAGUUGGCCAGUGGCACUUCCAACCUGCCACUCCCCAGGUGUGUCUGGACACACCUGAAUUGCCUGGCUUGGGAACCCUGGGCAGAAGAUUGUGCAAAAACAGAUUGUAGAACACGUGAGAGGCUGUCAGUCCUGGAACUCCAGGACAGCCCUCAGGGACACUGGGCAACCACCUGGGUAUUUCAUCUUCUCCUUCAUUUUUUCCUGCUGUAGACAUAGGAACUGGAAUAUAUGAGUUGCUUGUUCCCUAGGUGCCUGGUGCACAGCAGGAGCAGGCUCUAAACCUGGGCACACGCUCUCUGCCAAGUGCCCGGCAACAGAGAUAAGGACUCAGUCUUGGGAGUCAGAGCUUGGUGCAGGAGGAAGCUGAUGAGCCAGCCAGUGUACUCUAGGCCACUGCCUGAGAGGAAGUGGGUCAGACUAAAAAACAGGAAAUGGGGGGGGCUUCUCUAAGUGGGUCAGUAGUUGAACUUGAGACAGUCUGGAAUGAUGUCUGGGCUUCUCCCUCUGGCUGCAGUAAGGCACACCAUCCAUUCUGCAUUUGUUCUUUCAGAGAGUAUGGGCUGUGUGUCUGAGUGCGCUCAGGGCUCAAGGAUGGCACUGGGGCUGCUGCCUAGGCCCCACCUUUGUGGUAGAACCUCCUUUGUCUUCUACCAGCCCCAACUUGGAUGCCCCAAAGCUGGCAGUGAGCUCAUGGCAAGUCACUUCUAUCUUUGCCUACAUCCUCAUUUCUCCCUGCCAUGGCCAAGAAAAAGUGACCUUACAUAAAUCAUGGGGUUGAGGGUAUAGCUGAGCUGUAGAGUUGCUUGCAGACACCAGGCCAUAGGAUGGGUCACCCUUGGAAAAAAAAAAAAAAAAAAAAAGCUGAUUUAAUAAAAUCCUGAAAGCAGAAGCUGGAGAGAUGACCCAGUGGGGGGUAAGAGCAUGUUUUGCUCUUGCAGAGGACCUGCAUUUGACUCUGAGCACCCACAUCAGGCAGCUUACAACCACCUAAAGCUAUAGCACUAACAGGAUCCAAUGCUUCUAGCUCCAGUGGGUACCUGUACUCACCUGCACAUAGUCUCACACACAUAGACAUCAUUUUAAACUAAAAGUAAAAUUUUUUAAAAAAUCUAGAAAGCAGACAAAAUUACUUUAGGAUCAUAUAUCCAAAGCCCUUAAUGCUUGCUGUUUCUGUGUAUGCAAAUAUGCACUGAAGGAAAAACAAAAAACAAAACAAAACAACAACAACAAAAAACUAGGGAAAUAACCAUAGGCUAUUUUCCAUGUUUUAGCUUGCUGCUGGGAAACAUGGCUUGUCAAAGAGCAGCUUCACAGAGAUCUGAGUCUCCUGCAAUAAAAUCCUCCUAUUUUAAGGGCACAGUUCGAUGUAUUUUGAUAACUCUGCACCUGUGUAAGCAUUGCCAAGAUAGGGCACAGGAGCCACAGCCCAGAACUUUCCCCCUGCAGUUGUGGGGAAGCCCUGCCCAGCUGUCAGGGACGGGCACCACUCUGCAGGUAGUUCACAGAAACACAGCACACAGCCAAAACUCCCGGCAGCCCCAUCUCCACUGCUUUUAAACAUCAUGUAUCUGUGAUCAAUUCUUUUGGGCUUAAAUAGUAUUCGUGUGGUGUGUGUGUGUGUGUGUGUGUGUGUGUGUGUGUGCGCACAGCAAAUAUGAUAGCAAAGCUUAAAAAGUUAAAAACUUCUAAGCAUCUAUGAAAAUUAAAGCCAGGUCUCAUGGCACAUAUCUGUAAUCCCAGAAUUUGGGAGGUAUGGGGUAUCACCACCAGGGCCAGCUUGGACUAUACAGCGAGUUCCUGACAAAACAAAACAAAAUUGGUAGGAAAGCAGAACCAAGCAUGGAAACACACACCUAUGAUUUGAGAGCUACAGGCAGGAGGACAUGAGUUCUAUCCUGGGUUACAUGGUAAGACCUUGUCUCCAAAACAUUGAAAGACAUAGACGUCUCAUCAGAGCAAUGGCAGGGAAUGGAAGAACAGAUGAUAGACAGCUAGGUGAUCAGUAGAUAAAUUAUUGAUAGAUAAGUGGUAGAUAAUUGAUAGAUAUCAAUAAAAAGAUGAUUGAUAGAUAACCAACUAAUUAUUGAUAAACAGGAAGUGAUAGAUUAUUGUUAAGUAGGUAAAUGAUAAACAAAUAGAAGAUAGAUGACUGACACAUAGUUGCCAUUCACAGAAACAGAUCCUGGGGUGGAGGCUAAGCACCUCAGUGGAUGCCACAGAGAUGCUGUCCUCAGCCUUAGGAACCCACGGGAGUGGGGGUGAGGCACAAUGGAAGGAACACAGCAGAAAGUGCUCUGCUGUUUUUGGAAAGCUUCUAAUUUUUUUUCUUUCUUGGUGCUGAAGGUGAAACCUAGGGCCUCACAGGUGCUGAGUAUCUGCUUUGCUAAUGAACUACACCUCACUCCAUACCCUAAAUUCCAUUUUUGAUCAUGCAUACUAAGGAAAUGAAACAUCAGUUUUUAGGUCACUUCUUUUUUUAAUUAAUUUAAUUUUAAUGUGCAUUUAGUGUUUGGCAUACAUACAUAUCUGUGUGAGGGAGUUGGAUCCACUGGAAUUUGAGUUACAGAUCAGAUGGUUGUGAGCUGCCAUGUAAGUGCUGGAAACUGAACCAGGGACCUCUGGAAAAACAGAGCUGAGCCAUCUUUCCAGUAGGGCCCUUCUUACUUUUGAAGAUACAAUGUGUUUGCCGAGACCUUGCCAAUGUUUUUUUUACUUUACAUUCCCCUGCCUGUCCACAUUCUUGUUGGUCCUCCCCUUUCUCUCUGAUAACUUAUCAACACAGAUCCCUUUGUUCUAAUGCUUCUCAUUGGCAGCUGUCCCCUGUCCAGAUCUGUCCCUGAGGUGUUAACUUGAGGCCCGCAUAUUGGUCCUUUUCUCCCAUUUUCAGUCCAUGUGUGGCUUCGAAGGACACGACAGGCCACACUCUUAAGUGGCUGGGCCUGACACUGUUUCUCCGUGGACCCCCAUACAUGUUGAUCAUGGAGCCAACUCCAGUACUGCUGGUACAGGCCCUAUGGCGUGGAAGCACCUGGUGUGUGUUUUGACAGCUUGACCACCCAUCUGGGGACUUGAGGAAGGAUGUCAGAGCUCUGACACUCUUGCUGGCUUAACCUUUUACAGGGACUCCAGGCAUUGUGUGGCCUCCAUGGCCUCUGCUUUCUCUUAAGAGUUGGUUCUCACUGCCGAACUGGAGACAGUCAACAUGUCACACAUCACGGGGGACCAUGAGCUGGCCACUGCUAACAAGGGUUUCUCUGCGUAGCUUUGGCUGCCCUGAGACUCACUCUGUAGACCAGGCUGGCCUUGAACUCAGAUCCAGCUGCCUCUGCCUCCCAAGUGCUGGGAUGGAAGGCAUGUGUCACCACUGACCGGCUAGAAUGGAUUGUUUCCUUGUCAGAAGACCAAGGCAUGAGCCGCAACGUAGAGCGGUGCAUUCCCUGUCUGGAAGUGAGUAAGGGCCCAGCUGGUGUCACAGGCAGUGGAGGAACCCAGCAAGAGAGAGGCAGAACAGCUCUGUGAUGGGGGCCGACAGUUCUAACAUCUCUGAAUAUGUGAAAACUGUUCAAAAUAGAGUUGUAUGGUGCACCAGAGCCAGCGAAAGGACCCGCCACGAUGUGUUGUCUAGAAGGGCACCCUCAUCGCCAAAAGCCUACAUCUUUCCCAAGCAGAGACCAAAUCUUCCACCAUUUGCUCUCCUUUCCAACUGGAGUUUCUGUUUCAGUGUUUCUGAAAACAAAGUCCCUGUGCGUGUGUACAUGGAGGUACAGGUGUGUGUGUGUGUGUGUGUGUGUGUGUGCAAUAAAUAUGUGUGUGUGCGUAUGUUCCUGUGAGCCUGUGAAGGUGCAUGUGCAUGCAAAAGCCAGAGGGUGACACCAAGCAUCUUCCUCAUUCACUCUCCACCUUUUUUUUUCCAUUAAAGGUUUUUAUAUUUA
This is a long non-coding RNA of Meriones unguiculatus (Mongolian gerbil), 6934 nucleotides long. RefSeq lists it as uncharacterized. Lineage: Eukaryota; Metazoa; Chordata; Mammalia; Rodentia; Muridae. The record is from RefSeq and is a predicted model, not a curated record. The transcript has 2 exons.